This 375-nucleotide long non-coding RNA is filed under the name Mytilus galloprovincialis (Mediterranean mussel). The record is from RNAcentral. Lineage: Eukaryota; Metazoa; Mollusca; Bivalvia; Mytilida; Mytilidae.
CCCCAUUUGAAAAGUCUUUUUUGUGCUUAAAACAUGUACAAGUUGUUGGUGACGCUUUCAGAUCAAUUAUAAUGGAUGAUUCUAUAAAAUUAAAUUUCAUGCAGCAUAAAGUAGGCUACCCUUUCUCUAAAUGUCUGCUCACCAGAUAAGUGCACAUAUAAAAAUGAAUGAACUGAGUUUACCUACAUAUGAUUGGAAAUGUGCUGAAAACCUGAUCUUAUCUAAGGUGACCAUUUAUCUCCAGUGAUUUCAGACAGUUAGAUUGGCUUCUCUUAAAAUACUUUCAUGCUUCAAAUAUCUAAGUAAAACAGACUUGUUAUCACUGUCUUGUUAGGUUUGGCCUUGAACAAACCAAUAAUUGUAUUUAUCUUCUUC